Molecule: ribosomal RNA, 508 nt
Filed under: uncultured bacterium
Lineage: Bacteria
Description: partial 16S ribosomal RNA
Rfam family: Bacterial small subunit ribosomal RNA
Source: RNAcentral
GACGAACGCUGGCGGCGUGCCUAAUACAUGCAAGUCGAACGCUUCUUUCCUCCCGAGUGCUUGCACUCAAUUGGAAAGAGGAGUGGCGGACGGGUGAGUAACACGUCGGUAACCUACCCAUCAGAGGGGGAUAACACUUGGAAACAGGUGCUAAUACCGCAUAACAGUUUAUGCCGCAUGGCAUAAGAGUGAAAGGCGCUCUCGGGUGUCGUUGAUGGAUGGACCCGCGGUGCAUUAGCUAGUUGGUGAGGUAACGGCUCACCAAGGCCACGAUGCAUAGCCGACCUGAGAGGGUGAUCGGCCACACUGGGACUGAGACACGGCCCAGACUCCUACGGGAGGCAGCAGUAGGGAAUCUUCGGCAAUGGACGAAAGUCUGACCGAGCAACGCCGCGUGAGUGAAGAAGGUUUUCGGAUCGUAAAACUCUGUUGUUAGAGAAGAACAAGGACGUUAGUAACUGAACGUCCCCUGACGGUAUCUAACCAGAAAGCCACGGCUAACUACGUG